RNAcentral lists this long non-coding RNA (1005 nucleotides) under Monodelphis domestica (gray short-tailed opossum). RNAcentral's name for it is "lncRNA (ENSMODG00000048974.1)". Lineage: Eukaryota; Metazoa; Chordata; Mammalia; Didelphimorphia; Didelphidae. The record is from RNAcentral.
AGUGGCUCUGGCUUCACUAGACACUUUGUAUCCAUAGAAUUGGGGGUUUGGACCAGAUACUCUCUGAGGUCCUUCUCAGCUCUGACAUUCCCUGUUUUAAGCUCCCUCCCAGCUCUGACAUUCCCUGUUCUAAGCUCCCUCCCAGCCCUGACAUUCCCUGUUCUAAGCUCUCUCCCAACUCUGACAUUCCCUGUUCUAAGCUCCCUCCCAGCUCUGACAUUCCCUGUUCUAAGCUCCCUCCCAACUCUGACAUUCCCUGUUCUAAGCCCCCUCCCAGCCCUGACAUUCCCUGUUCUAAGGGUCCUCCUAGUUCUGACAUUCCCUGUUCUAAGAGUAUUCCCAAUUCUGAUAUCUUCUGUUCUAAGCUCCCUCCCAGCCCUGACAUUCCCUGUUCUAAGCUCCCUCCCAGCCCUGACAUUCCCUGUUCUAAGCUCUCUCCCAACUCUGACAUUCCCUGUUCUAAGCUCCCUCCCAACUCUGACAUUCCCUGUUCUAAGCUCCCUCCCAACUCUGACAUUCCCUGUUCUAAGCCCCCUCCCAGCUCUGACAUUCCCUGUUCUAAGCUCCCUCCCAGCCCUGACAUUCCCUGUUCUAAGGGUCCUCCUAGUUCUGACAUUCCCUGUUCUAAGCUCUCUCCCAACUCUGACAUUCCCUGUUCUAAGCUCCCUCCCAGCCCUGACAUUCCCUGUUCUAAGGGUCCUCCCAGUUCUGACAUUCCCUGUUCUAAGCUCCCUCCCAGCCCUGACAUUCCCUGUUCUAAGGGUCCUCCUAGUUCUGACAUUCCCUGUUCUAAGAGUAUUCCCAAUUCUGAUAUCUUCUGUUCUAAGCUCCCUCCCAGCCCUGACAUUUCCUGUUCUAAGCUCCCUCCCAGCUCUGACAUUUCCUGUUCUAAGCUCUCUCCCAGCUCUGACAUUCCCUGUUCUAAGCUCUCUCCCAGCCCGGACACCCCUGUUGGAAGAUUCAGCUCAGCACAGGCAUGAGAGCCAGGCCCUCACCUCCAAGUAG